UAGAGAGUAUGAGUAAUCUUUUGGGAGCUUUUGAGUGCCGUUCUGGUGAGUUGGAGGCUUGAUCUUGGUGGUUGAAGGCUAGUAGAGGCUAUAUCCAUGCUGUGAGGUGUUAAAAGAGUCAGAUCUUUCCUUGUUCUUCCUUGUUUUCGUUGCUGUUCAAUCUUGUAAAAGGUGAGUGCAUGACCAAGGCUUUGGGUGUUUUUAUGAUUGUUGGAUUGAUUUCUUUGCUUGUUUGGCUGUUUAUGUGUUGAUUGAUCCCUGUGAAACCCCUUGAAGACUCGUUCAUAUCACGAGGAUGAUUUGAAGUGGAGAUCCAUUGAGAAAACGCAGCUGGAGGGAUGCAGAGUGUCAGUGUCGAUUGAAACCAGUGGUGGGUGUCGCUCGACACCAAUGUUUUGUUCCGCGAGGAUAGUUGCGACUCGCGAACGGAGUGUCGAGCUCGAUGUCGACCGCGAGUGUCGAGCUCGAUGUCGACCGCGAGUGUCGAUCGACACCAGUGGUGGGUGUCGAUCGACACCGAUCGUCAUCAGCGAUGCUAGUUGUUAUUAAUUGGCUGUUCUGUUCAUUUUUCCUUGAUGAUGAUUGAUUUUACUUGUGUAUAUAGCCCAAUAGUUGGGAUGAGUGCCUCUCUAAGUAUUCUGGAAUACUUAUGCAUCUCUUUUUUGUGAUGCAGGUAAAGGAAAAGUGUGAUCCGUGGAAUCAUAGCGAAGAAAGGAGGAUGAUCUAGGCGCUCGUUGUUGUUUUGGAUUAUUGUUGGAAUUGUUACGCUGUUACACUGGAAUUUAGAAGCAUGAUAGGGUGAUUAUGUUUCUGGAAUAAUGUUUGGUUGAAGCUGGUUAAUGAAAUUGUUU
RNAcentral lists this long non-coding RNA (851 nucleotides) under Capsella rubella. RNAcentral describes it as "long non-coding RNA (CRUB_LNC001624)". The record is from RNAcentral. Lineage: Eukaryota; Viridiplantae; Streptophyta; Magnoliopsida; Brassicales; Brassicaceae.